AGCGAACGCUGGCGGCAGGCUUAACACAUGCAAGUCGAGCGGGCGUAGCAAUACGUCAGCGGCAGACGGGUGAGUAACACGUGGGAACGUACCUUUUGGUUCGGAACAACUGAGGGAAACUUCAGCUAAUACCGGAUAAGCCCUAACGGGGAAAGAUUUAUCGCCGAAAGAUCGGCCCGCGUCUGAUUAGCUAGUUGGUGAGGUAAUGGCUCACCAAGGCGACGAUCAGUAGCUGGUCUGGGAGGAUGAUCAGCCACACUGGGACUGAGACACGGCCCAGACUCGUACGGGAGGCUGCAGUGGGGAAUAUUGGACAAUGGGGGCAACCCUGAUCCAGCCAUGCCGCGUGAGUGAUGAAGGCCCUAGGGUUGUAAAGCUCUUUUGUGCGGGAAGAUAAUGACGGUACCGCAAGAAUAAGCCCCGGCUAACUUCGUGCCAGCCGCCGCAGUAA
Molecule: ribosomal RNA, 451 nt
Filed under: uncultured bacterium
Lineage: Bacteria
Description: partial 16S ribosomal RNA
Rfam family: Bacterial small subunit ribosomal RNA
Source: RNAcentral